GAAGAAAGUAAGAAAGGGCGCAUGGCGGAUGCCUUGGCUCACGGAGGCGAUGAAGGACGUGAUAAGCUGCGAUAAGCCUUGGGUAGGUGCAAAUAACCUUUGAUCCAGGGAUUUCCGAAUGGGACAACCCGGCAGGCUGGAGGCCUGUCAUCACUACGGAUGUAGUGAGGCGAACGGAGGGAACUGAAACAUCUUAGUACCUCCAGGAAGAGAAAAUAAACUAAUGAUUCCCCCAGUAGCGGCGAGCGAACGGGGAAGAGCCCAAACCGGCGGCGUAGCGAUGCGCCUCCGGGGUUGUAGGACCACGCAGUCGUACUUGGAUUGUGAGAAGAAUGUUCUGGAAAGAACAAUCAUAGAGGGUGAUGAUCCCGUAUUCGAAGCAUGACGAGACGUAGUGGUAUCCUGAGUAACGCGGAACACGUGAAAUUCUGCGCGAAUCCGCCGGGACCAUCCGGCAAGGCUAAAUACUCCCGUGAGACCGAUAGUGUACGAGUACCGUGAGGGAAAGGUGAAAAGCACUCCGACGAGGAGAGUGAAACAGUUCCUGAAACCAUGCGCCUACAAGCGGUCGGAGCCGCGCGAGCGGUGACGGCGUGCCUUUUGCAUAAUGAACCUACGAGUUGCCAUGUCCGGCAAGGAUAAGCGUCAUGAGCCGCGUAUCCGCAGUGAAAGCGAGCCUGAACAGGGCGUCGAGUCAGACGGGGCAGACGCGAAACCAAGUGAUCUACACUUGCCCAGGCUGAAGUCCGGGUAACACCGGAUGGAGGGCCGCACGGAUAAGCGUUGAAAAGCUUCCCGAUGAGGCGAGUGUAGGAGUGAAAGGCCAAUCAAACUUGGAGAUAGCUCGUACUCCCCGAAAGGCAUUUAGGUGCCGCGUGCGGCGUUAUCCGCGAGAGGUAGAGCGACCGGUAGGUCGAGAGGGCUUCGCCGCCUGUCGAGACCUGACGAACUCCGAAUGCUCUCGGAUCGCAGCCGUGCAGUAAGGGGGCGGGUGCUAAGGUCCGUCCCCGAGAGGAGAAGAAUCCAGACCGCCGUCUAAGGUCCCGGAAUUCUGCCUGAGUUAGUCUAACGAAGUCCGGUCCCCGUGACAGCUAGGAUGUUGGCUUGGAAGCAGCCAUUCAUUCAAAGAGUGCGUAACAGCUCACUAGUCGAGGGUCCGGGCGUGGAUAAUAAUCGGGUAUAAGGCAGAUACCGAAGGCGCGGGAUAGCAAUGUAUAUUGAAAGUAUCGGUAGGGGAGCAUUCCAUCGGCGUCGAAUGGUGAGGGUGACCGAUCCUGGAGCUUAUGGAAAAGCAAAUGUAGGUAUGAGUAACGAUAAAAAGGGUGGGAUUCCCUUUCGCCGAAAGACCGAGGUUUCCCGGGCGAUGCCAGUCAGCCCGGGGUCAGUCGGGUCCUAAGUCUCAGCCGAACGGCGAAGGCGAUGGCAGAUGCGGUCAACAUUCCGCAACUCGCAUUAUCAGUGACGUGGAGACGGAGCAGUGACACUGCCGCGCCCUGACGGAAUAGGGCGUUUAAGUGCGUAGGUUAUGAUAGUGGCAGGCAAAUCCACUACUUGAGCUGAAACACGAAAGUACAGCACUUCCUUCGGGAAGAGUUGAGUGCAGGUAAUCAUACUUCCGAGAAAAUCCGCUAAACUUAAUGAUAUUGCGACCCGUACCGCAAACGGACACACGUGGUCGGGUAGAAUAUACUAAGGCGUUGAGAGAUUCAUGGUUAAGGAACUAGGCAAAUUGACCCCGUAACUUCGGGAUAAGGGGUCCUCAUAGUAAUAUGAGGCGCAGAGAAUAGGUCCAGGCAACUGUUUAACAAAAACACAGGGCUGUGCAAACUCGAAAGAUGAGGUAUACAGCCUGACACCUGCCCGGUGCUGGAAGGUUAAGAGGAGAUGUCACUAGCAAUAGGAAGCAUUGAAUUGAAGCCCCAGUAAACGGCGGCCGUAACUAUAACGGUCCUAAGGUAGCGAAAUUCCUUGUCGGGUAAGUUCCGACCUGCACGAAUGGUGUAAUGAUCCGGACGCUGUCUCAACCAUGAUCUCAGUGAAAUUGUAGUAUCGGUGAAGAUGCCGAUUACCCGCGAUGGGACGAAAAGACCCCGUGAACCUUUACUACAGCUUAGCAUUGACCUUGGUCAUCCGAUGUGUAGGAUAGGCCGGAGGCUUCGAAGCGUGUGCGCCAGCAUUCGUGGAGCCAUCCUUGAAAUACGGCCCUUUGGCUGUCUGAGGUCUAACGCGCCUAUGGUGCGGACACUGCUUGGUGGGUAGUUUGACUGGGGUGGUCGCCUCCAAAAGCGUAACGGAGGCUUCCAAAGGUGCCCUCGGGCCGAUCGGUAACCGGCCUUAUAGAGUGCAAUGGCAUAAGGGCGCUUGACUGGGAGGCAGACAUGCCGAGCAGGCAGGAAACUGGGGCAUAGUGAUCCGGCGGAUGUGUAUGGAAACUCCGUCGCUCAAAGGAUAAAAGGUACUCCGGGGAUAACAGGCUGAUCCCCCCCAAGAGCUCAUAUCGACGGGGUGGUUUGGCACCUCGAUGUCGGCUCGUCACAUCCUGGGGCUGGAGAAGGUCCCAAGGGUUGGGCUGUUCGCCCAUUAAAGUGGCACGCGAGCUGGGUUCAGAACGUCGUGAGACAGUUCGGUCUCUAUCUAUCGUGGGCGCUGGAGUUUUGCGCGGUGCCGUCACUAGUACGAGAGGACCGUGACGGACAGACCUCCGGUCAGCCGGUUGUGCCGUCAGGUGCACCGCCGGGUAUCUGAGUCUGGAACGGAUAAGCGCUGAAAGCAUCUAAGCGCGAAGCCGUCCGCAAGAUGAGAACUCCUCACGAGGGCCGUCACAGACGAUGACGUGGAUAGGGCGCAGGUGUAAAGACGGCGACGUCAAAGCCGAGCGCUACUAAUUGCCCGAAGCUUUCUCCCG
This 2905-nucleotide ribosomal RNA is filed under the name Prevotella denticola. RNAcentral describes it as "23S ribosomal RNA". It matches the Rfam family "Bacterial large subunit ribosomal RNA". The record is from RNAcentral. Lineage: Bacteria; Pseudomonadati; Bacteroidota; Bacteroidia; Bacteroidales; Prevotellaceae.